GACGAACGCUGGCGGCGUGCCUAAUACAUGCAAGUAGAACGCACAGGAUGCACCGUAGUUUACUACACCGUAUUCUGUGAGUUGCGAACGGGUGAGUAACGCGUAGGUAACCUGCCUGGUAGCGGGGGAUAACUAUUGGAAACGAUAGCUAAUACCGUAUAAGAACAUUUACUGCAUGGUAGAUGUUUAAAAGGUGCAAGAGCAUCACUACCAGAUGGACCUGCGUUGUAUUAGCUAGUUGGUGAGGUAACGGCUCACCAAGGCAACGAUACAUAGCCGACCUGAGAGGGUGAUCGGCCACACUGGGACUGAGACACGGCCCAGACUCCUACGGGAGGCAGCAGUAGGGAAUCUUCGGCAAUGGGGGGAACCCUGACCGAGCAACGCCGCGUGAGUGAAGAAGGUUUUCGGAUCGUAAAGCUCUGUUGUUAAGGAAGAACGUGUGUGAGAGUGGAAAGUUCACACAGUGACGGUACUUAACCAGAAAGGGACGGCUAACUACGUGCCAGCAGCCGCGGUAAUACGUAGGUCCCGAGCGUUGUCCGGAUUUAUUGGGCGUAAAGCGAGCGCAGGCGGUUAGAUAAGUCUGAAGUGAAAGGCAGUGGCUCAACCAUUGUAGGCUUUGGAAACUGUUUAACUUGAGUGCAGAAGGGGAGAGUGGAACUCCAUGUGUAGCGGUGAAAUGCGUAGAUAUAUGGAGGAACACCGGUGGCGAAAGCGGCUCUCUGGUCUGUAACUGACGCUGAGGCUCGAAAGCGUGGGGAGCGAACAGG
This 773-nucleotide ribosomal RNA is filed under the name uncultured Streptococcus sp. RNAcentral's name for it is "bacterial SSU rRNA". It matches the Rfam family "Bacterial small subunit ribosomal RNA", at positions 28 to 776 of the family's 1533-position model. The record is from RNAcentral. Lineage: Bacteria; Bacillati; Bacillota; Bacilli; Lactobacillales; Streptococcaceae.